CCUACGGGAGGCAGCAGUGGGGAAUAUUGCACAAUGGGGGAAACCCUGAUGCAGCGACGCCGCGUGAGUGAAGAAGUAUUUCGGUAUGUAAAGCUCUAUCAGCAGGGAAGAAACCCACCCUCCGGGGUGGCUGACGGUACCUGACUAAGAAGCCCCGGCUAACUACGUGCCAGCAGCCGCGGUAAUACGUAGGGGGCAAGCGUUAGACGGAUUUACUGGGUGUAAGGGGAGCGUAGGUGGCAAGGCAAGUCAGAUGUGAAAACCCGGGGCCCAACCCCGGGAGUGCAUUUGAAACUGUCUGGCUAGAGUGCAGGAGAGGUAAGUGGAAUUCCUAGUGUAGCGGUGAAAUGCAGAGAUAUUAGGAGGAACACCAGUGGCGAAGGCGGCUUACUGGACUGUAACUGACACUGAGGCUCGAAAGCGUGGGGAGCAAACAGGAUUAGAUACCCUAGUAGUC
Molecule: ribosomal RNA, 457 nt
Filed under: uncultured bacterium
Lineage: Bacteria
Description: partial 16S ribosomal RNA
Rfam family: Bacterial small subunit ribosomal RNA
Source: RNAcentral